Molecule: long non-coding RNA, 1064 nt
Organism: Ailuropoda melanoleuca (giant panda)
Lineage: Eukaryota; Metazoa; Chordata; Mammalia; Carnivora; Ursidae
Exons: 4
Source: RefSeq, a predicted model, not a curated record
GAUGACAAAGCCUAUUACCCACUGCGUUACUCAGUGGCUCACUACGUCUUCCUGGCUUUUCCUCUAGAAAGUGUGUCAUUCACCCUGCCCUGAAGUUACUGGACCAGUGUUAAAAAAUUGGGACUCCUCUCAGGAGAGGAUCCCAAGAGAAUAUAACCAUGCAGGAGGUGACAAAAAUGGAAAAUCACUGACAUCUGUCUGGGCGAGGGCACAGAUGAAGAGUGAAAGCUUCUGAGCAGAAGAACAUGCAGAGUGCUUCCCCAGAGAAAAAGAGGAAGACAAUCUGAAGGGAAGUAUCAGCAGCCUUCCUACUCCCAUCCACCAAACUCAACCUCACUCAAGUCCAUCUACCCUGUGCUCUCUAAAUAAAGAAAUCAACAACUCAAGAACUUGAUAAAAACUGCGUCACGAACCAAACACCUCAUCUCAAAAACCUUAAGCUUCCUUUUGGUCCUAGAUGCAUGGAGAUCAUCUGGGAAUCUCACAGAAUUAGCAUCUUGCUGCACUAAGAGUCCAGCAUGGAUAUAUGUUAGUGAUUUGGCACGACAUGACCCCCUAACAAAAACCAACUCCUUCAGAGAGACCACCACCCACUCCAACACCAGAAGGAAAGCUGGCUUUAAAUUGUACCUUAUGGGUGAUUUCAGCCAUUUUUGAGGGUAAUUUUGAGCAUGUCGCUGUCUGAAACAGUUCCUUACUCCUAACUUUGAAUGAGACACAACUGUGCGAGACCUGCUUUUGCAUCAACAGAGAACACAACACGGUCCUUAGUGUGUUCUGACUGCCAUCCGAGAAUCCCACCAAAGCCCAGCUGUGAAAGCCAAGGCUGGCUCUCAGGUCAAACUGAAGCAAGAAGGGUUUGCUCUAUGGCCAUGUGGUCAGGAGGGGUGACCGCAGUUCAUAAGAGCUGAUCCCCCAAGUAUGAGACGUGGGGCCAUGGAGCAACACAAAACAGCCAUCGUCGCUGCCUAGUGAGGCCAGCCUGGGACUGCGAACACCGGCCAUUGCUUUUCAAGGCGGUGGAUAAUGGGAGCGGACACCACGCGCAGGUGCUUACCCGACAG